RNAcentral lists this transfer RNA (62 nucleotides) under Helcomeria spinosa. RNAcentral describes it as "tRNA-Asp". The record is from RNAcentral. Lineage: Eukaryota; Metazoa; Arthropoda; Insecta; Hemiptera; Coreidae.
AAAAAGUUAGUUUAAAAAAAACAUUAACUUGUCAAGUUAAAAUUAUUUAAUAAUACUUUUUA